GACGGAGGAUGCAAGUGUUAUCCGGAAUCACUGGGCGUAAAGCGUCUGUAGGUGGUUCGAAAAGUCCACUGUUAAAAAUUGAGGCUUAACUUCAAAGAUGCCGUGGAAACUUUCAAACUAGAGUAUGGUAGGGGUAGAGGGAAUUUCCAGUGGAGGCGGUGAAAUGCGUAGAUAUUGGAAAGACCACCGAUGGCGAAGGCACUCUACUGGGCCAUUACUGACACUGAGAGACGAAAGCUAGGGGAGCAAAUGGG
This 254-nucleotide ribosomal RNA is filed under the name uncultured bacterium. Its description in RNAcentral is "partial 16S ribosomal RNA". It matches the Rfam family "Bacterial small subunit ribosomal RNA", at positions 524 to 776 of the family's 1533-position model. The record is from RNAcentral.